This 254-nucleotide ribosomal RNA is filed under the name uncultured bacterium. RNAcentral describes it as "partial 16S ribosomal RNA". It matches the Rfam family "Bacterial small subunit ribosomal RNA", at positions 524 to 776 of the family's 1533-position model. The record is from RNAcentral.
UACGAAGGGGGCUAGCGUUGUUCGGAAUUACUGGGCGUAAAGCGCACGUAGGCGGAUUGUUAAGUUAGGGGUGAAAAUCCCAGGGCUCAACCCUGGAACUGCCUUUAAUACUGGCAAUCUCGAGUCCGAGAGAGGUGAGUGGAAUUCCGAGUGUAGAGGUGAAAUUCGUAGAUAUUCGGAGGAACACCAGUGGCGAAGGCGGCUCACUGGCUCGGUACUGACGCUGAGGUGCGAAAGCGUGGGGAGCAAACAGG